AGUGAACGCUGGCGGCAGGCCUAAUACAUGCAAGUCGAACGGCAGCACAGUGGAGCUUGCUCCAUGGGUGGCGAGUGGCGGACGGGUGAGGAAUACAUGGGAAUCUGCCCAGUCGUGGGGGAUAACGUAGGGAAACUUACGCUAAUACCGCAUGCGCCCUUCGGGGGAAAGCCGGGGACCUUCGGGCCUGGCGCGAUUGGAUGAGCCCAUGUCGGAUUAGCUAGUUGGCGGGGUAAAGGCCCACCAAGGCGACGAUCCGUAGCUGGUCUGGGAGGAUGAUCAGCCACACUGGGACUGAGACACGGUCCAGACUCCUACGGGAGGCAGCAGUAGGGAAUAUUGGACAAUGGGCGCAAGCCUGAUCCAGCCAUGCCGCGUGAGUGAAGAAGGCCCUCGGGUUGUAAAGCUCUUUUGCCCGGAAAGAAAAGCGUUGGGUUAAUACCCCGGCGUCCUGACGGUACCGGAAGAAUAAGCACCGGCUAACUUCGUGCCAGCAGCCGCCGUAA
This 506-nucleotide ribosomal RNA is filed under the name uncultured bacterium. Its description in RNAcentral is "partial 16S ribosomal RNA". It matches the Rfam family "Bacterial small subunit ribosomal RNA", at positions 29 to 523 of the family's 1533-position model. The record is from RNAcentral.